This 704-nucleotide long non-coding RNA is filed under the name Struthio camelus australis. Its description in RNAcentral is "lncRNA (ENSSCUG00000007233.1)". Lineage: Eukaryota; Metazoa; Chordata; Aves; Struthioniformes; Struthionidae. The record is from RNAcentral.
UGUAAGGACACUGCAGCAAGAGAACUGUAUUCAGCAGAGGCAGGAGGAAACUGUAGGAGAUGGGAAAGUGCCAUAAGAUCUGAGGAGACUUGCAUGCGUGAUUGGGGAACAGAGGAGUGGCAAGGCCAGAAAAGAACAUUAACACUUUUGGAAUGCUGCUGCUCAUGUCGUACAGGAAAUCAGCUUAUAUUCAAGUAGUGCUGGCACUUUGAUUGCUGUUUGUUCCUGGUUUACCUGCAGUGGGGAGAUAUUAGGAGGAAUAGGAAAGCGGUUCUGUAGGUAAGAAACAAGGAAAAGUUUUGUUGCUCAGAUAAGAGCAGCAAGUAUAAUUUCUUUUUCAUUUUUUUACAAUGUGUUUGUUCUCUGCUAAGAGUGAACCUCACACUUUUGGGUUUUAGCAGCUAUUUUGUUUAUUGACUUUGUCUGUCGGUAAUGUAGUUUUUGCAUUAAUAUUUUCAUGAGCAUGCUCUUGACGUUUUUAUUAAACGAUAAUGCAGUAAGACAGUGUUUAUAGAUCUCUGAACUUUAUUUUGUAUUUUUAGUUUAUGAAAAGUGGUUAAAUAUUUCCAAAAGAGUAUCUUAAUAUACAAAUAUACAUACGUUUGUGAAUUGUUAGUAAAAUCAGUACAUCACGACAACUUUUCUAAGGCCUUCAAAAUUUUGAUCUGCCUAAUAGUCACAGGAAUAACAUUAUUUUACAGGAA